GACGAACGCUGGCGGCGUGCUUAACACAUGCAAGUCGAACGGAAAGGCCCUGCUUUUGUGGGGUGCUCGAGUGGCGAACGGGUGAGUAUCACGUGAGUAACCUGCCCUUGACUUUGGGAUAACUUCAGGAAACUGGGGCUAAUACCGGAUAGGAGCUCCUGCUGCAUGGUGGGGGUUGGAAAGUUUCGGCGGUUGGGGAUGGACUCGCGGCUUAUCAGCUUGUUGGUGGGGUAGUGGCUUACCAAGGCUUUGACGGGUAGCCGGCCUGAGAGGGUGACCGGCCACAUUGGGACUGAGAGACGGCCCAGACUCCUACGGGGGGCAGGAGUGGGGAAUAUUGCACAAUGGGCGGAAGCCUGAUGCAGCAACGCCGCGUGCGGGAUGACGGCCUUCGGGUUGUAAACCGCUUUCGCCGGUGACGAAGCGUGAGUGACGGGAAUGGGUAAAGAAGCACCGGCGAACUACGU
RNAcentral lists this ribosomal RNA (467 nucleotides) under uncultured bacterium. Its description in RNAcentral is "partial 16S ribosomal RNA". It matches the Rfam family "Bacterial small subunit ribosomal RNA", at positions 28 to 506 of the family's 1533-position model. The record is from RNAcentral.